GGGUCAGUGGCUCAGGGAUUAAGCAAUUGACUUGUAAUCAAAAGGUACUUGGUUUGAAUCAAGUCAUAUCUG
RNAcentral lists this transfer RNA (72 nucleotides) under Papilio machaon (common yellow swallowtail). It matches the Rfam family "tRNA". From Rfam's summary of the family: Transfer RNA (tRNA) molecules are approximately 80 nucleotides in length. Their secondary structure includes four short double-helical elements and three loops (D, anti-codon, and T loops). Lineage: Eukaryota; Metazoa; Arthropoda; Insecta; Lepidoptera; Papilionidae. The record is from Rfam by way of RNAcentral.